Small nucleolar RNA from Grammomys surdaster, 133 nucleotides. RefSeq annotates it as small nucleolar RNA SNORA17. NCBI's taxonomy places the organism in Eukaryota, Metazoa, Chordata, Mammalia, Rodentia, Muridae. The transcript has a single exon. The record is from RefSeq and is a predicted model, not a curated record.
GCUGCCCCUAGUAACGUUGCAGGUGUGGCUGCUGUGUCACAUUCACGUUGUCAGUAGGUGGCAGAAAGGAGAGAGGCAGUCUAUACUCAGUGUUCUGACCUGUGAAUAUCUGAAUGAUUAGUAGCCUGAUACU